RNAcentral lists this unclassified non-coding RNA (369 nucleotides) under Hevea brasiliensis (rubber tree). The record is from RNAcentral. Lineage: Eukaryota; Viridiplantae; Streptophyta; Magnoliopsida; Malpighiales; Euphorbiaceae.
GAUUUUUACUAAAAAAUCUUCCAAUGUUAUAAAUAUAUCAAUCAACCAUCCCUUCUCCUCUGCAAGGGUUAAGACGCACUGGAGAGGGGUAAAAUAUCUUAAGCAAGAGCAAAAGCAUAAUCAUAAGUCCAGAAAACUGAUAAAAACUUUUCCCAUUGUCUAGAGUUUCAAAUUUAUAACAAACAACUUCCUUGUUGCAUCCAAUUCCCUGCAUAAAAAUCCAUUCCAUUCCAUCGUGCAAUUAAAAAAAAUCCUAACAAAUGCUAAGAUUUCAAAUAAAAAGACCUACUUUUUAACAGAUUUCUUCUUCGAAUUCACAGGCUGAAUCUGAGGCUUGGGAUGCUUCUCGGCUUCGCUGGGGUCCAACCA